AGCAUGGUCUUAGCUUGCUAAGGCCGAUGGCGACCGGCGCACGGGUGAGUAACACGUAUCCAACCUGCCGUCUACUCUUGGACAGCCUUCUGAAAGGAAGAUUAAUACAAGAUGGCAUCAUGAGUCCGCAUGUUCACAUGAUUAAAGGUAUUCCGGUAGACGAUGGGGAUGCGUUCCAUUAGAUAGUAGGCGGGGUAACGGCCCACCUAGUCUUCGAUGGAUAGGGGUUCUGAGAGGAAGGUCCCCCACAUUGGAACUGAGACACGGUCCAAACUCCUACGGGAGGCAGCAGUGAGGAAUAUUGGUCAAUGGGCGAGAGCCUGAACCAGCCAAGUAGCGUGAAGGAUGACUGCCCUAUGGGUUGUAAACUUCUUUUAUAAAGGAAUAAAGUCGGGUAUGGAUACCCGUUUGCAUGUACUUUAUGAAUAAGGAUCGGCUAACUCCGUGCCAGCAGCCGCGGUAAUACGGAGGAUCCGAGCGUUAUCCGGAUUUAUUGGGUUUAAAGGGAGCGUAGAUGGAUGUUUAAGUCAGUUGUGAAAGUUUGCGGCUCAACCGUAAAAUUGCAGUUGAUACUGGAUAUCUUGAGUGCAGUUGAGGCAGGCGGAAUUCGUGGUGUAGCGGUGAAAUGCUUAGAUAUCACGAAGAACUCCGAUUGCGAAGGCAGCCUGCU
RNAcentral lists this ribosomal RNA (670 nucleotides) under uncultured Bacteroidales bacterium. RNAcentral's name for it is "bacterial SSU rRNA". It matches the Rfam family "Bacterial small subunit ribosomal RNA", at positions 68 to 730 of the family's 1533-position model. The record is from RNAcentral. Lineage: Bacteria; Pseudomonadati; Bacteroidota; Bacteroidia; Bacteroidales.